AACGCUGGCGGCAUGCCUAACACAUGCAAGUCGAACGAAGGCCCAGAGCUUGCUCCGGUGUCCUUAGUGGCGGACGGGUGAGUAACGCGUGGGAACCUACCUUAGAGCGGGGAAUAACUAUUGGAAACGAUAGCUAAUACCGCAUACGCCCUUCGGGGGAAAGGCUUCGGCCACUCCAAGACGGUCCCGCGUCUGAUUAGCUUGUUGGUGAGGUAAUAGCUCACCAAGGCUACGAUCAGUAGCUGGUCUGAGAGGAUGAUCAGCCACACUGGGACUGAGACACGGCCCAGACUCCUACGGGAGGCAGCAGUGGGGAAUAUUGGACAAUGGGGGAAACCCUGAUCCAGCAAUGCCGCGUGAGUGAAGAAGGCCUUAGGGUUGUAAAGCUCUUUCAGAUGUGAAGAUGAUGACUGUAACAUCAGAAGAAGCCCCGG
RNAcentral lists this ribosomal RNA (434 nucleotides) under uncultured Pseudomonadota bacterium. Its description in RNAcentral is "bacterial SSU rRNA". It matches the Rfam family "Bacterial small subunit ribosomal RNA", at positions 32 to 496 of the family's 1533-position model. The record is from RNAcentral. Lineage: Bacteria; Pseudomonadati; Pseudomonadota.